UCGUUCAAAAAGUGGUUCCAACAACGUCAGUCCUCUGUGUUGUUAUCGUUGUGGACUUUAUUUUUAAUUUAUAACAACUUUUAAAACUAAAUCUUAUGGCUACUGUUAUUAUUAUCAUCCUUGGUAUAAAUGGGCCUUUACAGUCUUUACAAUGACACUGUAUAAAGGUCCUAGAUUAUAUACUUUUCACAGCACACAUCUUUCAAAACUGUUUUAUGGAGUUUGUCAACAGGUUUUUUUUGUUUUUUUUUUUCAUUUGAAAAGACAUUUUGUUAGUUGAACAAUUAAUAUGUUGUUAAACAAUCACUGAUCUAUAUAAAUAUAUAGAUAAUAUAUAGAUCAGUGGGUACAAUCCACUGAACGCACUGCUCUCAUUUUCAUUCCUGUCAAAACUACCCUGACUAACUUAGGGUUAUACAGUCACUAUUUUACCACUGGAAACAACGUUUAAAGAAUGCAUAAACACUAUUUAUAUGCAUAUAUAUAUUAUUUUUUUUUUUUCUCUGUAGAAGCCAGACUAAAAGAGAAGAUCCCAGGUUUACAUUCAAGUGAGAUAAAACGGAGAAAAAGUAUAGUAAAAUUAGAUAUAUGCUAAUUUAUUUAAAUAAAUUGAGCCUGCGUCAACAAUGCAGUUCCAAAACAACCAAUCAAAGAGAAAGAAUGUCACUGCAGGUGUCAAACGACCAAUCAAAUGAAAGACAUAAUAAAACCGCUUUAUGGAGCAAAUAGUAAAAAAAAAAAAAUUUCCCAGAUUCCCUCAAAGUUUUCAAGAAAUAAUUUCAACAUAAAACAGACAACAAAUGAAAUUAUAUUAUUUGUUCACGAAACGUUCCGUUUUUUCCCCAUUUGAGCGAUGUUGACAACACAGAGAUCACCGAUAAAUAACGCAUUAACGAAGAGCACACAAACUGUUCCUUUGGCUUAUUUAUAGAGUAUUUGGACUGUCAUACACAGAUCGGGAUUUCCCGUUAGAGAUUUCGACUCGUUCACUUGCCUGGAAUCUCCGUUCACGACCAUGAUCGCGAUCACUCAAGAUGGCGAGGCUUCUUGCACGUGGAGGACAGACGAAACACCGGAACGGAUUACGUUACUGCAGGAGUCAUCAGGAUGAUUCCCCUCAGAAGACGUUUAGUGUCUGAACUGCACAAAAGAUGUUUUGAAGAACGUCGGAUAACCCUGAACCCCUCUGACUUAUGUAUGGAGAAACACAGUUCGGAAUGGGCUGCUGGAUAUUGGAACAACUGUUAAUCAUCACAAAGUUAGAGAAGUCAGCCAGUUGAGUUGGACGUCAUGGUUCUUGUGGUACCAGAGGCUGUCCAGUGGCAUAAUUAAAUACAUACAGAAUAUGUGGGUGCGGUGUCGAUAUGCUGUCUAAUAGAGUACGACAGUGGAAAAACAAGAAAUGGACCAUGUUAACCUCACAUGCAAACGAAAACCGGCUGCAGUUUUGAAGGGGAAAUUAAUUUCAUGGACUGAUAAUGACUGGCCUCUGUCCACAAAGCAGCUGCUCCGGGACUCUAAUGAAAGAAUGUGUGUUGUAGUAAGUGAUUUUACUUGGAUUUACUUGAAUUCAACAGGUAAUGGCAUUCUGGAAUUUUUUUUUUUCCACCCUGGUCCAUAAAUCUGUAAGCUUGUAAGACCUUAAACUUAUUUAACUUUCAAACAAGACUGUCAAGACAACAUUUGGAGUUUGUUUUGACGAAUUUCCCUUUUCUUCUGGAAAUGACACUUGUUAUAUGAAUUUAAUUGAAUUUCAGUUCAAUUUUAUUAAAUUUUUUUUAUCUAAAUUUGAAUUUCAAGUUUCUGUUUGCUACCUCAUUUAAAUUCAAGAAUUGUAUUUUAUAUAUUG
Ctenopharyngodon idella (grass carp) is the source of this 1849-nucleotide long non-coding RNA. RefSeq lists it as uncharacterized. NCBI's taxonomy places the organism in Eukaryota, Metazoa, Chordata, Actinopteri, Cypriniformes, Xenocyprididae. The transcript has 4 exons. The record is from RefSeq and is a predicted model, not a curated record.